Molecule: unclassified non-coding RNA, 433 nt
Filed under: soil metagenome
Description: partial contains 5.8S ribosomal RNA, internal transcribed spacer 2, and large subunit ribosomal RNA
Rfam family: 5.8S ribosomal RNA (bases 1-120)
Source: RNAcentral
GAUGAAGAACGCAGCGAAAUGCGAUACGUAAUGUGAAUUGCAGAAUUCAGUGAAUCAUCGAAUCUUUGAACGCAUAUUGCGCUCUUUGGUAUUCCGAAGAGCAUGCUUGUUUGAGUAUCAGUAAACACCUCAAAGCUUUUGGAUUUUUUAAUCGAAAAGCUUUGGACUUGAGCAAUCCCAACACCAAUCUUUUUGAGAUCGGUGGCGGGUUGCUUGAAAUGCAGGUGCAGCUGGACAUUCUCCUGAGCUAAAAGCAUAUUCAUUUAGUCCCGUCAAACGGAUUAUUACUUUUGCUGCAGCUAACAUAAAGGGAGUUGACCGUAUUGGCUGACUGAUGCAGGAUUUCACAAGGGUCGGCAACGAUUCUUGUUAAACUCGAUCUCAAAUCAAGUAAGACUACCCGCUGAACUUAAGCAUAUCAAUAAGCGGAGGA